RNAcentral lists this unclassified non-coding RNA (209 nucleotides) under uncultured Trichoderma. RNAcentral's name for it is "sequence contains ITS1". Lineage: Eukaryota; Fungi; Ascomycota; Sordariomycetes; Hypocreales; Hypocreaceae. The record is from RNAcentral.
CCGAGUUUACAACUCCCAAACCCCAAUGUGAACGUUACCAAACUGUUGCCUCGGCGGGAACGCCCCGGGCGCGUCGCAGCCCCGGGACCAAGGCGCCCGCCGGAGGACCAACCGAAACUCUUUUUUAUCGCGAGUCCCCCAGCGGACUCCGAAUCUUCUCUUCUGAGCAAACCUCGGGCGCCCCCUGCGGGCGUUUCGAAAAUGAAUCA